Xyrichtys novacula (pearly razorfish) is the source of this 1711-nucleotide non-coding RNA. NCBI's taxonomy places the organism in Eukaryota, Metazoa, Chordata, Actinopteri, Labriformes, Labridae. The record is from the annotation of a GenBank genome assembly.
AUUUGCUCAGGCCAAUCUACACCCCGUGGCCAUUAAAAGUUAUCAAAAUCAUGACGCUGCACCCCAAGGUUUAGGUUCUAGGGGGCGCCAAAGAUAACACUAAAAUCCACAUAUUUAAAAGUCUUAUAACUUUUUAUUUUUGUCCUCACUGGCCUCCAAGUUUUCUAGGAUGAUGCAAUGUCCAGCCAUCAACACAUUUGUGAAGGAAUUUUUACUCCCCAAAAGAGCGCCCCCCCAUGGCAGGAGAAAAAAGUCAAUUUUUUCUUGUCCCCUAAGGUGAAAAAACACAUUGUUGACUGUCACGCCUAUACGCUUUGUCAAAAUGACACAAAAUUUGACACACACGUGUAUCUCAAUAAGAUCUACGAAAAAGUCAAUGGGCACGUAUCUGUAAAAUGUACGGUUAAAGGGCUAUUUCGCAUUUUUUGCCGAUUCGCACACAUUGGAAUGUGGCUAACUCCUCCUAAGGCUUUCUUCCCACCGACACCAAAUUUGCUCAAGCCGAUCUACAUCCCAUGGCCAUUCAAAGUUGUAAAAAUCAUGCCGCUGCACCCCAUGGUUUAAGUUCUAGGGGGCGCCAAAGAUGACCCAAAUAUCCACAUUCUUAAAAGAAUCCACAUACCCCCCCCCCCCCCACGGCAGGAGAAAAAGUCCAGUUAACCCUGCCCAUCGCUCAAUGGCUCAAUCGCAUCGCUCACCUGGCAACACCGUAAGGAGGAGCAACUUGCCAUUUGGAUAUAUCCUAGCUGUGUUUGUGCCCUCACUCAUGGUCCAGACUUUUUUCAAAUAGGACAUGUAGUUUGUCUGCAGCGACCGUUUUGGUAGAAACUGCGCCUCCCAUUCAUUAUAAUGGGAAAUGACCACAGACAAGUGCGCACACCAUCUUUGGACCUUGAGUGUGAUGCGAUCGGGAGGGGGAGGCGGUCGCGCUGGGGGCGCCGCGACGCGGCUCGGGCCCGACAGUGCCCCACCGGGGCCCUAGUCUUUGUUUCUUUUUUCUUUUUCCUCCCCUUUGAACUGGAAAAUGGCCCACUUCCCACUGGCGAAAACUCAGGAAAUUUGGCAGGACGACCGGGCCUGGUGAAAAAUUUGAUAUUCCGAAGUCGCCCAAACAAGAAAAUGCAAAAUGGCUCCAUAGCGCCCCCUAAGGUGAAAAUUCACACUAUUGACUGUCACGCCUGUACGCUUUGUCAAAAUGACACAAAAAUUGACACACACAUGUAUCUCAAUAAGAUCUACAAAAAAGUCAGUGCGGGCGUAUCUGUCAAAUGUACGGUUAAAGGGUUAUUUCGCAUUUUUUGCCGAUCCGCACACAUUGGAAUUUCGCUAACUCCUCCGAAGGCUUUCGUUCCACCGGCACCACAUUUGCUCAGGCCAAUCUACACCCCAUGGCCAUUAAAAGUUAUUCAAAUCAUGACGCUGCACCCCACGGUUUAGGUUCUAGGGGGCGCCAAAGAUAACCCUAAAAUCCACAUUUUUAAAAGUCUUAUAACUUUUUAUUUUUGCCCUCACUGGCCUCCAAGUUUUCUAGGAUGAUGCAAUGUCCAGCCAUCAACACAUGUGUGAAGGAAUUUUUACUCCCCAAAAGAGCGCCCCCCCAUGGCAGGAGAAAAAAGUCCAUUUUUUCUUGUCCCCUAAGGUGAAAAUACACAUUGUUGACUGUCACGCCUAUACGCUUUGUCAAAAUGACACAAAAAUUGACACACACAUG